UACGGAGGGGGCUAGCGUUGUUCGGAAUUACUGGGCGUAAAGCGCACGUAGGCGGUGUGUCACGUCGGCCGUGAAAACCUGCAGCUUAACUGUGGGCGUGCGGUCGAUACGGGCAUCACUGGAGUUCGGCAGGGGAGACUGGAAUUCCUGGUGUAGCGGUGAAAUGCGCAGAUAUCAGGAGGAACACCGGUGGCGAAGGCGGGUCUCUGGGCCGAUACUGACGCUGAGGAGCGAAAGCGUGGGGAGCAAACAGG
This 254-nucleotide ribosomal RNA is filed under the name uncultured bacterium. RNAcentral's name for it is "partial 16S ribosomal RNA". It matches the Rfam family "Bacterial small subunit ribosomal RNA", at positions 524 to 776 of the family's 1533-position model. The record is from RNAcentral.